Long non-coding RNA from Gadus chalcogrammus (walleye pollock), 1054 nucleotides. RefSeq lists it as uncharacterized. The record is from RefSeq and is a predicted model, not a curated record. NCBI's taxonomy places the organism in Eukaryota, Metazoa, Chordata, Actinopteri, Gadiformes, Gadidae. The transcript has 3 exons.
UCCACCCACACAGACAGAAACAUCCACCCACACGCCGGAAAUUGCGUGCUGGUGGAUGUCUGGAGCGCGAGUUGCACAUUAUUCAACAGCGCCCCCUCGGGUCACAUGGUAGGUGAAUAUUCAAAACACAGCGAUACAAUUAUAAAUGCACGAGACUUGCAUUUCUUUACCGAUCUAUUAGUUUCUGAUGUCUCUGCUCAUGAUUUCAAUUUAUUACACAGAGGAAGAGCAUAUUUGUGGCUGAUCUCAAUGCUGUUCCGACUUGGCGAUAUCCAACAGCAUGUGACCCACUUUCAAGUUUACCUGAUGAUGUUUACUUCAGAGACGCUGUUGUAAUUCCUGUUUGGAAACCUGGACAUUUCUUGUUAUCUGUUUUGGACACAGGCCAGAGAGAGAUAUUCUUUCUGGAUUCCAAAUGUGAACAUGCACAGUUUGGAUUUGGCGAUCUAGAAAUGAGAGAACUGUUGAGGUCACUAACACAAACUAGCAUGAUGGUUCUUAUUGAUGUUCCUGAUUGAUGCAGUUUCAAUGCCUUUCUGUUUGUUCCAAAAUGUUUGUUCUCCAGAUCAUGUUCUAAUCUGUAUAGCAGCCAUUUUAUGGUGCUGCUUAUAUAUAACAUGAAUAUUGGAUAUCAACUUAACCUUAGAAUUUAACAAGAAAUGUCCACACACUGUGAACUCCUAAACUUACAAUAAAUUGAAACCGCUAAGUGAGUAUAUAUAAUGGUACCAUAAAAAGCCUGUUGAAAUGGUGUGUGUGACUGCAUGAAGAUCUUGUUCCUGACUAAAUAGAUUGCGUCAUGUGUGCGGUACAUAUUUUGCAUGAUUGAUAUGCUCUAAAUGCUGCUGUCUGUUCCAUUUUAGAAACCUUUGUCAGUCUCUCAGCCCUGGGCCAUGGAAAGAGACGACUGGUUUGGACAUCGAGGUAAAUAUAUUGUUGUUUAAUGAUACUGUGAAACUAGAAGUACAAAUACUAACUCAUUUCUGACAUGAUGGGGCUUUCCACGGCAAAAGUAUGGCAUCGACUGUGGCAUCUUCAUGUUGAUGGUAGGUGU